GCCAGGUAUGGUGGCGGGUACCUGUAAUCCCAGCUACUUGGGAGGCUGAGGCAGGAGAAUUGCUUGAACUCAGGAGCUGGGUUGCAGUGAGCUGAGAUCACACCACUGCACUCCAGCCUGGGCAAUAAGAGCGAAACUCUGUCUCCA
This is an unclassified non-coding RNA of Macaca fascicularis (crab-eating macaque), 147 nucleotides long. It matches the Rfam family "Metazoan signal recognition particle RNA". Rfam says of the family: The signal recognition particle (SRP) is a universally conserved ribonucleoprotein. It is involved in the co-translational targeting of proteins to membranes. Lineage: Eukaryota; Metazoa; Chordata; Mammalia; Primates; Cercopithecidae. The record is from Ensembl.